CACAGCAAAGCCAAACUAGCCAGUGUUGUAAACUAAAACUAUUAAAAAUAGUUUGUGUUUACAAACAAAAAUCUUAAAAAGUGGAAAAUGAAUGAAUGCUGAAUGCUUUCAAUUUACCUUGUUCUGAUAAAAAUAUAAUAAAUAAAAAAAUCUUGUGUACAAGAAAUGCAUAUUUCUGAAAAUACUUUAUUUUUAUACCAUGUUGUUACUUUUGUUCACAUGUAUGUAAUAAUUUUGUAUCUUUAAUUACACAGAUUAUUAAACUCUAUAAUCUUCAAGCAAGAUGGACAGCAAGAUUAAAGUGUGUUUUCUCGUCGCAGUGGAACUGGAACUAGGUGCAGUUCAAAGUCUUUCUUCCAAUAGAUAUGUGCACUUCUGCAUAACAGCUGAUAACACACUAUUUCUC
Molecule: long non-coding RNA, 406 nt
Organism: Cyprinus carpio (common carp)
Lineage: Eukaryota; Metazoa; Chordata; Actinopteri; Cypriniformes; Cyprinidae
Source: Ensembl